RNAcentral lists this ribosomal RNA (447 nucleotides) under Streptococcus sanguinis. RNAcentral describes it as "bacterial SSU rRNA". It matches the Rfam family "Bacterial small subunit ribosomal RNA", at positions 28 to 461 of the family's 1533-position model. The record is from RNAcentral. Lineage: Bacteria; Bacillati; Bacillota; Bacilli; Lactobacillales; Streptococcaceae.
GACGAACGCUGGCGGCGUGCCUAUACAUGCAAGUAGAACGCUGAAGAGAGGAGCUUGCUCUUCUUGGAUGAGUUGCGAACGGGUGAGUAUCGCGUAGGUAACCUGCCUGGUAGCGGGGGAUAACUAUUGGAAACGAUAGCUAAUACCGCAUAAAAUUGAUUAUUGCAUGAUAAUUAAUUGAAAGAUGCAAUUGCAUCACUACCAGAUGGACCUGCGUUGUAUUAGCUAGUUGGUGAGGUAACGGCUCACCAAGGCGACGAUACAUAGCCGACCUGAGAGGGUGAUCGGCCACACUGGGACUGAGACACGGCCCAGACUCCUACGGGAGGCAGCAGUAGGGAAUCUUCGGCAAUGGGGGGAACCCCUGACCGAGCAACGCCGUCGGUAGGAAGUAUAGUGUUUUCGGAUACGUAAAGCUCGGGAAUAGAGAUAGACUUGGGUGAGAGC